AGGAGAAAGAGAGUAAAGGAAUUAGGCACAAAGGCUAUUUUCAGCAUCUUGAAGCCUGUAACAUCAGUGGAAUUCAGAGAACUAGUAUGAAGCCUAAGUUGCCGGUGGAGAGAGAUAAGUACCUCAAACACAUGUUUCAAGGUCCUGUCUUGUUUUUGUGCAAGUUUUUUCCCACAUAGGAUUGAGCCUUCUGUGGAGCUCUGACGCAUGGACUUUUGGUCUGGCUGGUGUCCUUGCCCCGUUGGUUGUUGAAGCCUGUUUAUUUCAGCCUGCCUUGUUUUGCGAGAGCUCAUUUGCUUGAGCUCUCAACAGGAGCCGAGGUACAGUUUCAGAGCAUUCAUGGAUCUCUCAUAAUCGUUCAAGACAUCAUCAUUCUGGUGCAGCCCUUCCCCAACAGGCAGCGAGAUUACCAGGUCUUUGUAUAACACACGUAAUAUAAAUUCUGCCUCAUGCCCUGGGACUGCCUACAGGCAGUGAAGGGAGCUUCGGCUGGAGCCUGGAACGAGCCACCAGCCCCUCACGGCUGCAGCGGACGG
RNAcentral lists this long non-coding RNA (536 nucleotides) under Manacus vitellinus (golden-collared manakin). RNAcentral describes it as "lncRNA (ENSMVIG00005011007.1)". The record is from RNAcentral. Lineage: Eukaryota; Metazoa; Chordata; Aves; Passeriformes; Pipridae.